AAUUUUGGACAAUGGGGGAAACCCUGAUCCAGCCAUCCCGCGAGUAUGAUGAAGGCCUUCGGGUUGUAAAGUACUUUUGGCAGAGAAGAAAAGGUACCUCCUAAUACGAGGUACUGCUGACGGUAUCUGCAGCAUAAGUACCGCCUAACUACUUGCCAUCAGCCCCGGUAAUCCGUAGGGUUCAAUCGUUAAUCGGAAUUACUUGGCGUAACGCGUGUGUAGGCGGUUCGGAAAGAAAGAUGUGAAAUCCCAGGGCUCAUCCUUGGAACUGCAUUUUUAACUGCCGAGCUAGAGUAUGUCAGAGGGGGGUAGAAUUCCACGUGUAGCAGUGAAAUGCGUAGAUAUGUGGAGGAAUACCGAUGGCGAAGGCAGCCCCCUGGGAUAAUACUGACGCUCAGACACGAAAGCGUGGGGAGCAAACA
RNAcentral lists this ribosomal RNA (422 nucleotides) under uncultured bacterium. Its description in RNAcentral is "partial 16S ribosomal RNA". It matches the Rfam family "Bacterial small subunit ribosomal RNA", at positions 360 to 774 of the family's 1533-position model. The record is from RNAcentral.